GAUAAACCUAGGGAAAACAUCCUAAGUGGACUCUUCAGCUCUGUAGCAAACUGUUUUGUAGAACUGUCAUUACCAGUCAAGUUACCUGGGAUUAUGUGCAAUGGAAAGCCCCAAAGGGAAGUGAGUCUUUAUGAGCAUAUCUGCAGCAGGCUGUGUGGUUUUGUGGGCAGCUUACCCGCCAGACAUUUCACUGUGU
This is a long non-coding RNA of Lingula anatina, 196 nucleotides long. Lineage: Eukaryota; Metazoa; Brachiopoda; Lingulata; Lingulida; Lingulidae. The record is from RefSeq and is a predicted model, not a curated record.